Molecule: ribosomal RNA, 269 nt
Filed under: uncultured Enterococcus sp.
Lineage: Bacteria; Bacillati; Bacillota; Bacilli; Lactobacillales; Enterococcaceae
Description: partial 16S ribosomal RNA
Rfam family: Bacterial small subunit ribosomal RNA
Source: RNAcentral
UCAAUUGGAAAGAGGAGUGGCGGACGGGUGAGUAACACGUGGGUAACCUACCCAUCAGAGGGGGAUAACACUUGGAAACAGGUGCUAAUACCGCAUAACAGUUUAUGCUGCAUGGCAUAAGAGUGAAAGGCGCUUUCGGGUGUCGCUGAUGGAUGGACCCGCGGUGCAUUAGCUAGUUAGUGAGGUAAAGGCUCACCAAGGCGAUGAUAUAUAGCCCGACCCUGAGAGGGUGAUCGGCCACAUUGGGACUGAGACACGGCCCAAACUCC